RNAcentral lists this ribosomal RNA (460 nucleotides) under uncultured bacterium. RNAcentral describes it as "partial 16S ribosomal RNA". It matches the Rfam family "Bacterial small subunit ribosomal RNA", at positions 338 to 795 of the family's 1533-position model. The record is from RNAcentral.
CCUACGGGGUGCAGCAGUGAGGAAUAUUGGUCAAUGGACGAGAGUCUGAACCAGCCAAGUAGCGUGAAGGAUGACUGCCCUAUGGGUUGUAAACUUCUUUUAUAUGGGAAUAAAAUGUUCCACGUGUGGGAUUUUGUAUGUCCCAUAUGAAUAAGGAUCGGCUAACUCCGUGCCAGCAGCCGCGGUAAUACGGAGGAUCCGAGCGUUAUCCGGAUUUAUUGGGUUUAAAGGGAGCGUAGGUGGAUUGUUAAGUCAGUUGUGAAAGUUUGCGGCUCAACCGUAAAAUUGCAGUUGAAACUGGCAGUCUUGAGUACAGUAGAGGUGGGCGGAAUUCGUGGUGUAGCGGUGAAAUGCUUAGAUAUCACGAAGAACUCCGAUUGCGAAGGCAGUUCACUGGACUGCAACUGACACUGAGGCUCGAAAGUGUGGGUAUCAAACAGGAUUAGAUACCCGAGUAGUC